AAAAGUACAAAGUUGUACAGCACUGAAGAUCAAAAGUUGAAAAGGUUUUGCCAAAUACGGCAUUGUUUUUAUGCCCGGGAUAAGAACACUUUUAUAUAGAACGAUUCAUGCUAUUGCAAACAGUAAAUUUUAACAAAUGAAUGUGAAAGAUAUAUUCAUAAUGAAACUGAAGUAUUAACUUAUUACAGAAAACUAAACCCGAAUGCAUGAUGCAGCAUAGACACACCCGAAUCAAUCCAGGCGUCAACGCAAUUAAAAAAAUGACGUCACAUACGAUGGUGAAAAGGCAAACGUUAUGCCACAUUUGAAUUUAUGAAAUUUAGAAACAGCAUGACGUCACACAUGAAAAACUAUAAUUCAAAAGUGAGAUAGAAUUAGGAUUGCUUUAAGAUUAUAAAAUACUGAAUUUUAACAAAUCAUUUGAUAUUUUCUUGUUUCAUAGAUAAUAAAAAAAAUAUCGUCCAUUUGGAUAAAAAACGGGAAUGCAUGACAACAGAUUAUUUAACCUGAUAUUCUCGUUUUUCCAAUGGACGAGUCUAUUACGUUUUUGACACGUGUGUUGAAACUUAUUUUCGUACGACGUUUUUACUUUUUUUUUUCUUUAUCAGUUUUCGUGCUUAUUAUUUUUCACCAAGUUUUGAUUAAAAGCUAAGUCAAAUAACUGACGUGAAUCUGUUUUUCUUGUUUGUGAAUUGACGAUUUAAUUUCGUCUUUGUCAGUGUACCCCCCCCCCCUUUUUUUUACGGGAAAUUAUUAGACAAUGUCAUGCGAUGUUUACAGCUGAGCAAUAAUAAUUAUCAAACUAAAAUUUAAGAACGAUGAAAAAAUAGUAUGACAAACAUAUAUUAGAAAGGUGAAAUAUAUUUUUAUUUUGCAUAUCAGUUUUCUGUCUUGAAGAUCUUUUUUUUCUUUUUUUUCCCGACCGACCGACCCGACUUUUUCAUGGAGAAAAUCCGUAAACCAACAAAUUAAAAAACCGUG
Molecule: long non-coding RNA, 981 nt
Filed under: Mytilus galloprovincialis (Mediterranean mussel)
Lineage: Eukaryota; Metazoa; Mollusca; Bivalvia; Mytilida; Mytilidae
Source: RNAcentral